AGACUGUAAAGUUGCUUAUCGAAGGACCAUUCAAAAGCCUGGUAACAGAGGGGAAGAAACUGUUCCUGAGUCUGGCAGUGCGUACUUUCAAACGUUUGUAUCUUCUGCCUGACACGAGC
Amblyraja radiata (thorny skate) is the source of this 119-nucleotide long non-coding RNA. RefSeq lists it as uncharacterized. The record is from RefSeq and is a predicted model, not a curated record. Lineage: Eukaryota; Metazoa; Chordata; Chondrichthyes; Rajiformes; Rajidae. The transcript has 3 exons.